UACGGGGGGGCAAGCGUUAUUCAAUUAACUGGGCGUAAAGCGUCUGUAGGCGGCAAGUUCGUUAUUCGGUAAAUAUGAAAGUUGACACUUUCAACAACGGGUAAACGUGCUUGCUAGAGUCAUAGAGGAGGUAGUAGAAUUCUGAAGUAGGGAUGAAAUCCAAUCACAUCAGGAGGAAUACCAAGGGCGAAGGCAACUAUCUGGCUAUGACUGACGCUCAGAGACGAAGGCAUGGGGAGCAAAUGGG
This 247-nucleotide ribosomal RNA is filed under the name uncultured bacterium. Its description in RNAcentral is "partial 16S ribosomal RNA". It matches the Rfam family "Bacterial small subunit ribosomal RNA", at positions 524 to 776 of the family's 1533-position model. The record is from RNAcentral.